CUUUUUCUUCUUCUUCCUCACGCCUCCCUACCCAAAAUCCCCUCCCCCGUUUUUUUCCUCUCCACGCGAAACUCUCCAGCCGGCACCACGCGCGUCCGACCAAGCCGCCACCAGUCGCUGGUCGUUCAUUCAUGGGUCGCCAUUCGCGCAAGUCGGUUUGAUCGUCAGCAAGCAGCGAUCGUCCAGCGCCGCUCGCCCCUCCGCACGCCGAUCUCGCCCAGCUGGUCAGAGUCGCGUCCGUGCCGCCGCCGCCUCCAGCAAGCAGCCGAUCUUCUCCACCGUCCAUCGCCACGCUGCCUAUCACCUGUUGUGUGGGUCUUCGUCGAACUCGUAGAUUUGGAUUUGAGCUUGGAAAAUUACAGAAGUGGUUGUCCAAUGGAUUCAAGAUUGUUCGGCAAAGUUUUGGUUGCAAGUCGUCCUCCAUUGGGUUUUAAAAUCUGUUAGGAGGAGAUUUUGGAGGCGAAAUCUUGGGAGUGGUUAUUGAUCAAGUUUCUUUGGGGCCGUUACUUCAAACCGCUGUCAUCAUUUGGUUGUCUGAUUUUAUCUGCGGAUUUUCGAUUAAGGUAAGGGUAGAGAUGCACCGACGAUGGACAAGCGAAAUUCGUGAUCGAGCCACUAAUACUAGUUUUUUACGCUUCCGCAUCAUGAGAUUUAAAGUUCUUUUCAUGUUUCUCUUAACUUUUAGUUUUGAUGUUUAAAACUUAUUUUUAAGAAUUUUUUUCCAGACUUAUUUAUUGUCCUUUAUGAGUUAUGAGUACCCUACUAUUGUUUUAGUAUUUGAAUUUAAUGAAAGUCUUUUGAACCUACCUUAUUUAAUUAGCAU
Benincasa hispida (wax gourd) is the source of this 823-nucleotide long non-coding RNA. RefSeq lists it as uncharacterized. NCBI's taxonomy places the organism in Eukaryota, Viridiplantae, Streptophyta, Magnoliopsida, Cucurbitales, Cucurbitaceae. The record is from RefSeq and is a predicted model, not a curated record.